Salvelinus sp. IW2-2015 is the source of this 2244-nucleotide non-coding RNA. Lineage: Eukaryota; Metazoa; Chordata; Actinopteri; Salmoniformes; Salmonidae. The record is from RefSeq and is a predicted model, not a curated record.
GACCCUCGGUAUUUAUUGGAAAGGAGCAUCAAGCUCAUCACCUUGCACUUUCACCAACCUGUGAAGUUCAUAACUUAUUGCAUCAGUAGCCUAAUAAAUUGUAUGCUUUCCGUGCUUAUAGACAACUGUCAUUACUAUGCUUGCCCUAUGGAUAAUAUCAUGCUGUUGAAGAUAAUGAAUUCCCCUCUUUACCGGUUACUCCGUGCAAACCUUUACCCUCCAAAAAACCCAACAUGAACUCUGGCAUCUGCUUACUCAUCAACUCCAGGUCUGACGCCAUUGAGAAAAUGGUAGGUGCGAACACCAUGGUUAUCGAAGGCUUGAAAAAGACUGGAGUUUACAUGUGGUGAAAUCAAGGAUGUGAAAAUGAGUGGCAAAAGUUGAAAAAAGUGUGGAAAAUAAUAACAAUGUCUACCAUAGACAUCUCACUGAUCUGGAACAAUACACAAGAAGAUGGAACCUGAGACUCUACUGCGUGCCAGAGGUGGAGAAUGAGGAUGUGCGAGGAGAAGAACAAAGUUGGUGAUACCAUCGACGUUGUGCAUCGCCUCUGCAAGAUGCAACAGCAAACGAUUCAAGACCAAGGGGUAUCAUCAUCCUCUUCACUGCCAGAUUCUACAGGGAUGCUGUCUGGAAAGCUGCUAGGAAGAACACCUUCCUCCAGAGCCAUGGUAUGCGUUUUGCUGAGCAUCUCAGCCCGGAGGACAUAGAAAGAAGGAACAAGUUGUGGCCAACGAUCACGAAAUGAGGGAAAGGCCGCUUACUUUGUCGGAGGACGAGGCUCAUCAACGGUUCAGAAAUCCAUAUUCCUCCCUAAAAUCUCACCAGAAGGAACAGAUUGAUGGUUUCGGACAUGGUAUUCUCAUUUUUCUUGUGUUGAUUAACGUUAACUAACAAGCAUCAGUAGUGUACCCACAUUGCUUGCAGAAGAAGAUGAAAAUUCUCUGGUGCAGUACUGUAUCUACUGCGCCAGCCAUGGGUUCCCCUUCACCAGACAGAGGCUGAUGAAAUACGCUGACGAAAUACGCAGGUUUCGACACCCAGGGGGAAACAAUCCCACCACUGAGGAAGAGGUGGUGGGAAAUGUUCAGGAGGAGGCACAAGAACCUAAGCAUAAGGAGGCCGGACACCCAAGACAGGGGGAGAGCUCAGUGUGCCACACAUCCGACAAUGGACACCUUCUUCACUUUUUAUGAGAAGCACUUAAAGGAGAGUGGGUUGAGGGAGAAACCCAGACAAAUCUAUAACUGCAGUGAGUCUGGGUUCCGUAGCAACCAGAGCAGGCACAAAGUGCUGGCUCCCCGGGGUGCAAAACACGCGUACCAGCAGGCUAUGGAGACCAAGGAGCACAUCACAGUGCCUGCUUCAACGCAGCUGGGGAGGACGUUCCCCCGUUUAUCAUCUACCCCAAGUGUUUCCCUGUUGGCCACUAUACACUGGGAGCCCCCCCCCCCCCUAGCCUUGUAUGUGCGGUCAAACAGUGGUUACAUUGACGGGAACCUGUUCAGGAAGUGGUUUCAGCACAGUGGUGCACCCUCUCCUUCUCCUCUUUGAUGGACACAAGAGCCACAUGGACCUCGAGGUGCUCGUGUGCGGCACUAAGGGAAGGGGUUAUACUUCUUUGUCUUCCACCACACUGCACCCAUGUCCUGCAGCCGCUGGACGUGACAUACUUUGGCCCUUUAAAGGCUGAGUUCUCCAAGGUAGCUGGAGACCUUAGACAUUUUAACCACUCCUACAUGGUAAACAAAUCAGAAUUUGCCAGAGUAUUCUGCUACCCAUACCAGCGCUGCAAGGACAUGCGCUAUGUGGUGGAAGGGUUCAAGAAGUGUGGCCUUUUCCCUUUUGACCCUUCAGCCAUUGAGGGUCCAGUUUAAUGCCGUCUCGGUCCCUACCAGGUCCCAGCACUGCCUCUCCUGGAACCAGCAGCACUGGGCCUUCCACCAGCACCGGGGAGGAAUACACACGCAAGUGGCAAGAGAGGGCUGAGGCAGAGGAGAAAGAGCGUCGGGCAGCCUUCAGAACACAGGGCACAGGAGAUGGCUGCCAUGGAUGAGACCAUCGACGCCGUCGCCUCUGCUGGACCCCCGCUGGAACCACUCCUGACAGCUGCAUCACCACUGCCAGUGCCUCCCAGUGUGCAACACCUGUAGGAGCCGCCGGAGUCCCCACUAUUUAACUUUUAACAAGGCACACCUGUUAAUUGAAAUGCAUUCCAGGUGAUUACCUCAUGAACCUGGUUGA